Molecule: long non-coding RNA, 1646 nt
Organism: Macaca fascicularis (crab-eating macaque)
Lineage: Eukaryota; Metazoa; Chordata; Mammalia; Primates; Cercopithecidae
Source: Ensembl
CAGCUUGGAAACCACUGAUUCCUUUUAUUCUUAGAUUUGUUUUAUUCUUAAUGUGUUUUAAACUUAAUCCAAAACUUGUUUUUAUUUUUUUUAUAUUUAAGUGAGCAUGUCUGAUGCUCUAUUUUAUUGAAAAAGACCCUGCUUAGUAAACUUGGAAGGCCCACUGAGCUGCCAGCUGCUGAGGCCACCUCUCUGCCCAUAGCCUCCCAGCAAACAUUUUUCUGGAUUUAAACAGUGCUUAUGAUUGACAUUUGUUACAAUUCCCUCUUUCCUCUUUUUAUGCUGGGUGGGAUUUUUCUUUCAAACUACACAAGUCCUACCUGCUUGUGCCAACAACUAAAAUCAUACAGUAACUAAAAUUUGGCCCGAGGUCCCCAGGGUGACCCCCCACCACAUGAACACUAGGAGGGGCGUCCUCACACCCCCGCCACACCCCAGCUCCUCCUCACACCCCCGCCACACCCCAGCUCCUCACACUAGGAGGGGUGUCCUCACACCCCCGCCACACCCCAGCUCCUCCUCCUCGGGGAGGCAGUGCUCCUGCAAACCCCAGACAUAGAGCUGCCUGGCUGUCUGCAGCUCCCACCCUCCCCAGGGUCUUCUGGUGCACAAGACCCUCCUUGCAAGGGAAGCUGGGAUAGGUGGGCACAGACCCUAAACUCCUCACAGUUUCUGCAGUUGCCAGGCUGGACGGUUCCUCAGAAGAUCCUGCGGAUAAUGUCAACCAAGGCGUGUGUGCAGGAGGCUGAGCCCAGCCUACAGAGAGCCCCGAAUACGUUGGAAUGAAGGGCUCCUGGCGGGGCCUUGGAGAAGAGAAGCCACCACUGUGUGUAGAUGGCAGGAGACUCAUUACAGAUCUCAGUGGAGUAGCAGCGGACUUGAAGAGUGGAGGCCUGAGCGUGGGAACCUUCAGUUACCCCAGCCUUUGGGACCCAGGGGCCUUGGAACUUGGUCUGUUUCAUGCAAGUCCGGCGUUCUGCUUCUGCUCCCACUCCAGUGUGAGGGGUCUGAGGGUAUGGGCUGUGCUGUGAGCCUGGUGCGCCCCACCUUGCAAGUUGUGCAUGAGGCCGGUCAGCCUGCCUGUGGUUUGACCUACUUUAAAAAUGUUCUAAUUAGUUGUCAACACUUAAAAAUUAAAAAUCUCGAGAUUUAAUCAUCACUUUAUAUCUCUGCUCUUUCUGGAAAACUCAGACUGUCCCCCUACUGAGCUCAAGGUGCCCCAUAUGUGCACCCAUAGGGGCCCUCCCUGCCAUACCCAGCUGGCUUCAUUCAUUUCCUUUCCUGCCUUCUGGGAGCCAAAGUUCAGGUACAAAAUUCCAGCUGUACGUUUGCAGUGAUUUCCCCCGAACACUGUUUCCCUAGAGGGGAGGCACCUCUCCUAGGCUCCGUCCUCAAUGCUCAUUGGCUGCUGCUGCUGUCGAGAAACAAGCCUGGGGUGAAGUCCCGUAUUCCAGCUGUCUCAGUCAGUCCAUUCCCUUGCGAGGCUGCAAUUCGAACAGGCACAAGGGUCCAGUUCGGGUCUGCUGUUGAGACUAGCAGUCUCCUUUGCUACAACAAUUAAAAAAAUCAUUUUCUAUGUCAGCAACGUCAUUCAUCGUCCCGAGGUCUCUGCUUAUUGCGGCGCUGUCUUCAGCUGCGAAGACUGA